CCAACGGCCCUCUUUAGGGCCACAAAUGUUCUCGGAUACGCUUGA
This is a non-coding RNA of Ancylostoma duodenale, 45 nucleotides long. Lineage: Eukaryota; Metazoa; Nematoda; Chromadorea; Rhabditida; Ancylostomatidae. The record is from Rfam.